AAUCCACAUAAAACCUAACGGACUCACAUUGCGUAUAUAAUAUACGUAUACCGAAUUCGAUAAUUACUAGUCGUCGUUUUACGGGGUGAUUUAAGAGGGACCGCGCGGGAAAGGGUAUUGCAGAAAGUUGUUGGCCACUGAUACGGUUCAUUUACCCCGAGUACGGGUUUUUAAUUUUUUUCCCCCUAUUUUAUCGCCCGAUACCCAAACAUACACACACACACCAGCUAUAUACUAUCCGUGACGUAUGCGUUACCACCCACCCUUGUACUGUAAUAAGGGAUUCCGCGUGACAAAAGUUUAAAAAUAUAAAAACAAAUACGGUAUUGCGCUCGUAUACAUUGGGUGGAACACGUAAAAACCAUGGGUAGUACCAAUAUUGUAGGUAGAAAGUUGGAAGGUAGGUCACAUAAAGUUAUUUAAU
Non-coding RNA from Cinara cedri, 424 nucleotides. NCBI's taxonomy places the organism in Eukaryota, Metazoa, Arthropoda, Insecta, Hemiptera, Aphididae. The record is from the annotation of a GenBank genome assembly.